This 542-nucleotide ribosomal RNA is filed under the name uncultured archaeon. Its description in RNAcentral is "bacterial SSU rRNA". It matches the Rfam family "Archaeal small subunit ribosomal RNA", at positions 457 to 997 of the family's 1478-position model. The record is from RNAcentral.
GGCAGCCGCCGCGGGAACACCGGCGGCCCGAGUGGUGAUCGUGAUUAUUGGGUCUAAAGGGUCCGUAGCCGGUUUGGUCAGUCCUCCGGGAAAUCUGAUAGCUCAACUAUUAGGCUUUCGGGGGAUACUGCCAGACUUGGAACCGGGAGAGGUAAGAGGUACUACAGGGGUAGGAGUGAAAUCUUGUAAUCCCUGUGGGACCACCUGUGGCGAAGGCGUCUUACCAGAACGGGUUCGACGGUGAGGGACGAAAGCUGGGGGGCACGAACCGGAUUAGAUACCCGGGUAGUCCCAGCCGUAAACGAUGCUCGCUAGGUGUCAGGCAUGGCGCGACCGUGUCUGGUGCCGCAGGGAAGCCGUGAAGCGAGCCACCUGGGAAGUACGGCCGCAAGGCUGAAACUUAAAGGAAUUGGCGGGGAGCACAACAACGGGUGGAGCCCUGCGGUUUAAUUGGACUCAACGCCGGACAACUCACCGGGGGCGACAGCAAUAUGUAGGCCAAGCUGAAGACUUUGCCUGAAUCGCUGAGAAGAGGUGCAUGG